UGGGGAAUUUUGGACAAUGGGCGAAAGCCUGAUCCAGCAAUGCCGCGUGUGUGAAGAAGGCCUUCGGGUUGUAAAGCACUUUUGUCCGGAAAGAAAUCCUUGGCUCUAAUACAGUCGGGGGAUGACGGUACCGGAAGAAUAAGCACCGGCUAACUACGUGCCAGCAGCCGCGGUAAUACGUAGGGUGCAAGCGUUAAUCGGAAUUACUGGGCGUAAAGCGUGCGCAGGCGGUUUGCUAAGACCGAUGUGAAAUCCCCGGGCUCAACCUGGGAACUGCAUUGGUGACUGGCAGGCUAGAGUAUGGCAGAGGGGGGUAGAAUUCCACGUGUAGCAGUGAAAUGCGUAGAGAUGUGGAGGAAUACCGAUGGCGAAGGCAGCCCCUGGCAAUACUGACGCUCAUGCACGAAAGCGUGGGGAGCAAAACAGGAUUAGAUACCCUGGUAGUCCACGCCCUAAAACGAUGUCAACUAGUUGUUGGGGAUUCAUUUCCUUAGUAACGUAGCUAACGCGUGAAGUUGACCGCCUGGGGAGUACGGUCGCAAGAUUAAAACUUAAAUGAAUUGACGGGGUCAUAGCUG
Molecule: ribosomal RNA, 578 nt
Filed under: uncultured bacterium
Lineage: Bacteria
Description: partial 16S ribosomal RNA
Rfam family: Bacterial small subunit ribosomal RNA
Source: RNAcentral